CCCCACCCCCCCCUCCCUCUCCGUCUCCCUCUCUCUUGCGCCCAGCCCUAAUUUUACUCUGUCUCUCUCUCGCAACGGCAACAGCACCGGCGUGGGCAGAUCUCCAGUCCAGGAGGCUUUAUUCUUUUGACUGUGUUUUGGAGGCAGAUAUGAAGAUCUCAAAUCAUCAGCAAAGCUGGCGGCGACACUAGCUUGGAGGUUUGCUCCCAACAAUGGCAGCAGCCUUGCCACUAAUGAUCUGGAGAGAUAUGGGGAUGCUAAACAUCAUGAUUUAGAGCCGCCAACUCCACAUUCACUUAUAAAAAUGGGUUCAAGAGAGUGUAGUAACAUGGAAGACCCACAUGGAACACUGGCUAGUGUUGCCCAAUGCACUGAGCAGUUGCGGCAGAAUUCUUCAUCUGUACAGGAAAAAGAGUAAUCCUUGAAGCAGUUGCUCGAGCUUAUUGAUACGCGUGAAAGUGUUUUCAGUGCUGUUGGUAGGAAUGGCAAUAGAAACCGUACCCAAUGGUUACCCAUGGAGAUCCUACCCGAAAUAAGUGGGUUUCCCCUAUUUUUUUAUCCAUCGGGUCAGUGGGUAAUCAAAUUUAAUUCCCCAUCGGGGAAUGGGGCGGGGAAUGGGUCAGGCUCAUCUCUCCGUAUGUUUUGACAUCCUCUCUUCACAGCUAGGGUUUUCUCACUCUCUCUCACCACUCCCACUCUCCCACUCCCACUCCAACUCCAAAUCAGAGUUAAGCAUCGAAAGCAGCUAGAGUUCCCCGGCGAUCUCGUUAGCGCUUAACACAGUUCUCCAGCGUGAUCACUCCAUUGCAUAAACAAGAGAAGUCUGCUCUGCAUUUCUCUGGUUGAAGCGAGGUGCACCUAUGGCACUUCAACUCUGAGGCGAGGCGACGUUAAUGAAGUGCUGUGGAGGUGGUUGAGGCGUGUGAGGAGCACUGAGCUACACACUUCUAUAAUUGUGUUUGAUUCAUUAAAGAUGAGAUAUCAACCCUUUGAUCUAAUGAAACCCAUUAUACUUUUAUGUGAUGGCUUCAUCCUGUUAAAGUCCCCAAAUAAAUAGAGAGCCUCAACCAUAAUCAACAGAUUGAAGACUAAUGCCUAAGAUUUUAUAUUUUGGCUUAGAUUCCAUACUUCUGUUUAUUUUUAUAUUUUAUCCUUUGGCGGUGAUAAUGGUCAAACAGUAAUUUGUAGCCUAUAUAUUUAUUGUUAAAUUACUUGGUUAAUUGUUUAUAUCAUUUACUUAAUUUUUUAAGUACUUUA
Molecule: non-coding RNA, 1257 nt
Organism: Camellia sinensis
Lineage: Eukaryota; Viridiplantae; Streptophyta; Magnoliopsida; Ericales; Theaceae
Source: RefSeq, a predicted model, not a curated record